Molecule: long non-coding RNA, 232 nt
Filed under: Lathyrus oleraceus (garden pea)
Lineage: Eukaryota; Viridiplantae; Streptophyta; Magnoliopsida; Fabales; Fabaceae
Description: Pisum sativum (pea) long non-coding RNA (PSAT_LNC006666)
Source: RNAcentral
AAUAACCAAGAUCGAAUGAGACUCAAUAGAGUAUCGUAGCAUCGGUUCGUAGGAAAAGAACCUGACCCUCACAACUGUCCGUUCUAGUUUGUUUACAUUUUCAUCGUUUUAGCCCAAUAAAUAGGCAAAUACAUUGUCUUUGGAAAAUUCAUUACAUUGGUCCAGUUCAAGUGAAUAAAUUUAAAAAAGCUGAACUACUAAGCAACAAUGAAGUUGCAUAAAUUGCAUAAGA